This is a long non-coding RNA of Homo sapiens (human), 6266 nucleotides long. RefSeq lists it as uncharacterized. The transcript has 2 exons. The record is from RefSeq and is a predicted model, not a curated record. NCBI's taxonomy places the organism in Eukaryota, Metazoa, Chordata, Mammalia, Primates, Hominidae.
CACCCACUCUCCAAUCAGUCCUGAUGAGAUGAACUGGGUACCUCAUUUGGAAAUGCAGAAAUCACUGCCUUCUGCGUUGAGCUUGCUGGGAGAUGCAGACCAGAGCUGUUCUUAUUUGGCCAUCUUGCCAGCACCCCUCCCCCCCCCACCUAAUUCUUAAUUUUCUUGUAAGGAGUCCUAAAUUCAAUUUUGACGUUUUACUUAUUUUCAACUUCUAUUGUAGAACAAUUGAAACAUAUACAAAAAUAGAGAGAGUAAUAUAAUCAACACGUAUUCAUCACAAGCCUUGAAAAUUAACAUCCCAUGGUCAGUCUUGUUCCAUCUUGCCUUUCAUUCCCUUCCUGUCCCAGCUCUGAAUUAUUUUGAAGCAAAUUCCAGUAAUCACAUUAUUUCAUCCUUUACUUCUUUUAAAAAUAUGACAGAAGUUUUUGACAAAAGAAUCUUGAUGUGGGGAAAUUUAAUGAUAACACUUUUAACAUGACAGUUUUUAAAAAUUAUGACAUUUGAUUUAUAUUUUAUUCAAUUUUAUGGAAAAUAAUUAUGCAAAGUAUCUUUUUAUUAUAAGAAUCAAUCCUGCAUGUAGAAGUCCCGACUAAUAUCAAAGAACACAGUAAUCAGUCUUGUCCAUCUUGUUCAAACAUUGAGAGCUAGCUAACAGGAAUAAGAUAUAUAAGGAAUACAAAUGUUGACCAGGUGUCUUAGCUAAAGAACAUUUUCUACUCUGCUUAUCUAACUCAUGUAUUUAUAUUUUCCCAAUCCAAUUUCUUAGCAACACAUUUGCAGAAUUUAUUUGACUCCAGAAUGGCUACUGGAUUAUUGAGAUUUCCUGAAGUGAAUAGUUUUGUAGAGCUUUGGAUAAAAUUAGAACAAUAGAGUCAUAUGAAAGGGGGAAGAAUAUGUUGUUGGCAAAAUUCACAUUUCUUCUCAUCUACUCUCUCCUGAUAUCAGACUUCCUCUUCCUGUGAUGAAACUGAGGUUCGUUUUGACACUCCUAAGAAAUUAAGAAUGGAGGGCAGAAGGGAUUUGUGCUCUCCUCCUGGUUGCUGUGAUGAGACAGAUGUGGAACAUUUCAUUUUCCUGGACUGUGUAGACUUCAGCUGUCAUCUCUACUGAGUAAGUCAGCCUACAAGGCAACUCCGUUCAGGUCUUUUGUUAUUUUUAUUUUUUGUAAUAGUGAGAAAAAAAUGAUGGAUAUAAGGAGAAACAUGCAUUUCUAAACCCCAAUGAGGAGAGAUUCUCAGGUAGAGGGCUACAUGAUGAGGGGAACCAGAAGUGGCCAGGCCGGAGGAAGGAGCCACACUGUUGGCUAAAUCUGAGAGGGAGGUAAGCCAGUGGUCUGGGGGCUCCAAGAGUAGCAGAAAUCUCUGCUGACUUCCUCCCCCUUAUCUUCCUAGGGAGGUAGGACCCAAGGUGCUAGGUUCCCACCUCAGCAGAACCUCCACCCACCUUUCAGCCCUGAAGCCAUCAUGUGACUCGUACUAGGAAAGUCCACCUGUGAUGAUGAUGACCAGUGAGGGCUAAACACCAGGGGUCUCCCAAAUGUUCUCAGCCAUAUACGAAUUUCAGGCUCUACACUGGACCUGGAUGAUGAGGGGUGAUGGAGCCCCAAUAAUAACCACAGUUGAUUUUUCCACACCCCGUUGAUCAGAUUAAAUAUAAUUUAGAAAAAUAACCAAUGUGGCAUUUUUUUAAACCUGAGAUGUAAAAUAAAAUCCAUGACAGCUGUACUGUAUACUUUGCCUAAUUUACUUUCUCAGAGGUUUGGAAGGAAUGCUCAGAAAUAUUUAGAGGAGUUUCUUUCAGUGAGAUUACUUAUAUUUAUGAUAUUGAAGAUGUCUUUUUUCAAAGUGUUACGUACUAAAUUUCAUCUCCCACAGCCCCCUUCCCAAAUUCAUGUAUUGAAGCCCCCAUCCCCAUUGUGACUGUAUUUGGAGACAGGGCCUUCAAAGAGGGAAUUUAGGUUACAGAAGGCCCUAAGGGUAGAGCCCCAAUUCAGUAUGAACUGUCAUUGUAAGAGGAGGAAGAAACACCAGAGAUUCACUUGCCCAGAGAAAAGGCCAUGUGAGGACAGAGUGAGAAGCUGGUCAUUUGCAAGGAGAGAAGCGUUAGGAGAAACCAAACCUGCUGACACCUUGAUCUUGGACUUCUAGCCCCUAGAACCGUGAGAAAAUACAUUUCUGUGGAUUAAGCCACCCAGUCUGUGGUACUUUAUUAUGGCAACCCUAGCAGACUAAGACACAGUAUUUAACACUUUCAUGUAUAGGUCUUUAUUCUCUGAAAAUCUAUAAUAUUUUACUCUAGUAAAAAUUCUCUUGCUGUGUGGAAUUUAUGGGCACUCUACUAGCUAAAAUCAUUCACUUUCUGAAAAGAGUGUUGCAAAGGGCUACAGAACAUACUGGAUACCAUUGACCAAACUAAUUAGAAAACUAAUGCUGCUCAGUGACUAAAAAUAACAGGGGAGUGGGUGCAUAUGCAGGAUGGGGCCCCACUACUGGAAGUUAAAACAGCAAGUACCUUUCCCUGAUACCAUGGUAAUGCAAGCAUCAUGGUAACCUUUGUUAAAAUAAACGUGUUGGGCUCACGCCUGUAAUCCCAGCACUUUGGGAGGCUGAGGUGGGUGGAUCACUUGAGGUCAGGAGUUCGAGACCAGCCUGGCCAACAUGGUGAAACCCCAUCUCUACUAAAAAUACAAAAAUUAGCCAGGCAUGGUGGUGCACAUCUGUAAUCCCAGCUAUUCAGGAUGCUGAGGCAGGAAAAUCGCUUGAACCCAGGAGGCGGAGGUUGCAGUGAGCCGAGAUCCUGCCACUGCACUCCAGCCUGGGUGACAGAGUGAGACUCUGUCUCCAGAAAAAUAAAAAUAAAAUAAACAAAAUAAAAUAAAAUAAAAGUGCUGAAUACAUGUUAGUUUACCAGGGAGAUGAUAUUUAAUUAUAAAAGUUACUUUCUUACACCCAUAUACACCCCCGUUAUAAUUCUGCUUGAAAUCUUUAAAGAAUGAGAGUCAAUCUGCUUUAUAUUCUAGAGGCCUCUAAUAUUGCUAGUUAAAUUUCAUAUGCUGUCAAAAAAUAAGGGAAAGCAAGAAAAACACAAAGACAAGGCAUAUAUAUUACUGAACUAUAAGUUCCUAAAAAUCGGGGAUUUAUUUUUUCCUUGAGAUCAUCAAACACACUGUUUUGCACAUCAUUGGCAUUUAUGAUUGGUUUAAUGCAUUGUAACUCUGAGACAUACAGCUUAGAAAAGAAAAGCAUACAGCUAAUAUGACUGUAGAAUAAAGACUAAAUUUUGCCUACAGCAUGAGAAAUCAAUUGUAUCACUUUACAAUCAUACAUUUUAUAUGUGUAAAAAUAUACGAGUAGAUUUUAGUUUAUUACAGUAAUAUGCUAACAAAAAUCUAGAUAUUUCUAAAUAUCUAGACAUUUCCAAAUACCUAUGGUAUUAAAUAUUGUGAAGAACAGACAUAUUAUUUGUCCCAGUUGGUCACUUUUUAUGCAAUUUCCUUUUUGUAAAAAUAUCUGAUAUAUAAAAUUGCCUCCUAUGUUUAAGAACAAGUAAGAACAAACAAGAACAAAGAUUAACAGUGUCCAAAUUUUUUAAAUAGAUCAAGCUGGUAAUGUGAUAAUUUCAUUUGCAAUUUAUCAUAUGUUAGUCAUUAAAACACACACACACACAAACAUAAGUUUUACAUACCAGACACACAUAAGAUUCUACCAAAAGUCAGUGAGAGUAGAACAAAAGUAUGUGGUUCUAUGUUGUUAUGACUAAGUGCAUGGAAAACUUUCCUUCAUUAAUCUACCACUCCACCUCUCUGACACACACCACAAAGUAUCCACCGUGUGUUAAGGUAUAAUUGGAACAUAAGGGAGGGAAUAAAGAACCCGGGAGCCCGGGUGCAUAGGAGUGACCUACCCUUGAGUGCCGCCACACAAGUCCAGUGUGUCUGUGUUGGCUGAGUUUUAGCUGUGCUCUCUGCGGGUUGUGCAACCUAAUCAUAAUAACAAUAAUAACAACCAAAAGCAUUUAUUUUGUAUAGACAAAACAUAUAAUCUUGUGCUAGGUGGUUUAAUUCAUUAUGUUUAAUCCUAAGAAAAACUCAGGGCAAAAGAAAAGCAAUGUCUAACUUGGUUUCUGCUCAUAAGGAAAAGUCUAGCAAUAGGGACUUCCUUAACCAGAUGGUGUGAGGACUAGAAUUGUCAUGGUCAUGGCUAUCAUGGAUCAACUCAACCAUUACCUAAGGUGACUUCCUUGAGGUGAUUACAUCAGAACUGGACCUUAAAUGAUGACUCUAAAUUUGUUAUGAGGAGAAAUGCUGAGCACUUAGGACAGAGGGAACAGGUGUUGAAAAGGAUGUAAGCAUGAUGUAGCAUGACACAUUCAGGGAUACAGCAUGAAAUAACAUGACACAUUCAGGGGUAUAGUAUGAGAUAGCAUGACACAUUCAGGGGUAUAGUAUGAGAUAGCAUGACACAUUCAGCGAUAUAGCAUGAGAUAGCAUGACACAUUCAGGGAUAUAGCAUGAUGUUGCAUGAUGCAUUUCAGGGAUAUAGCAUGAGACGGCAUGACACAUUUCAGGGACAUAGCGUGAUGUAGAAUGACACAUUCAAGUAUAUGGCAUGAGAUAGCAUGACACAUUCAGGGUUAUAGCAUGGGACAGCAUGACACAUUCAGGGAUAUAGCAUGAGAUAGCAUGACACAAUCAGGGAUAUAGCAUGAUGUAGCAUGACACAUUCAGGGAUAUAGCAUGAGACAGCAUGACACAUUUCAGGGACAUAGCAUGAUGUAGAAUGACACAUUCAAGUAUGUGGCAUGAGAUAACAUGACACAUUCAGGGAUAUAGCAUGAGACAGCAUGACACAAUCAGGGAUAUAGCAUGAUGUAGCAUGACACAUUCAGGGAUAUAGCAUAAGAUAGCAUGACACAUUCAGGGAUAUAGCAUGAUGUUGCAUGAUGCAUUUCAGGGAUAUAGCAUGAGACAGCAUGACACAUUCCAGGGACAUAGCAUGAUGUAGAAUGACACAUUCAAGUAUAUGGCAUGAGAUAGCAUGACACAUUCAGGGUUAUAGCAUGGGACAGCAUGACACAUUCAGGGAUAUAGCAUGAGAUAGCAUGACACAAUCAGGGAUAUAGCAUGAUGUAGAAUGACACAUUCAAGUAUGUGGCAUGGGAUAGCAUGACACAUUCAGGGAUAUAGCAUGAUGUUACAUGACACAUUCAGGGAUAUAGCAUGAGACAGCAUGACACAUUUCAGGGACAUAGCAUGAUGUAGAAUGACACAUUCAAGUAUGUGGCAUGAGAUAGCAUGACACAUUCAGGGAUGUAGCAUGGGACAGCAUGACACAUUCAGGGAUAUAGCAUGAGACAGCAUGACAUUUCACGGACAUAGCAUGAUGUAGAAUGACACAUUCAAGUAUGUGGCAUGGGAUAGCAUGACACAUUCAGGGAUAUAGCAUGAUGUUACAUGACACAUUUCAGGGAUAUAGCAUGAGAUAGCAUGACACAUUCAGGGAUAUAGCAUGGGAUAGCAUGACACAUUCAGGGAUAUAGCAUGAUGUAGAAUGACACAUUCAGGGAUAUAGCAUGGGAUAGCAUGACACAUUCAGGGAUAUAGCAUAAGAUAGCAUGACACACUCAGGGAUAUAGCAUGAGAUAGCAUGACACAUUUGAGGGACAUAGCAUGAUGUGGAAUGACACAUUCAAGGAUAUAGCAUUAGAUAGCAUGACACAUUCAGGGAUAUAGCAUAAGAUAGCAUGACACAUUCAGGGAUAUAGCAUGAUGUUGCAUGACAUUUCAGGGAUAUAGUGUGAGAUAGCAUGACACAUUCAGGGUUAUAGCAUGAGAUAGCAUUACACAAUCAGGGACGAAUUCAAGCAAGCCUCAGAGUUUGUCAGAUUCCCAGUAUAUCUCUUUGUUUUUGAAAAGAGAAAACAAAAUAAACACCUCACUAAUGUAGUAUGUUUUUUAAAAAAUUUAAUCCUUUCUCUCACCUGUUUGAUGUGGUAUUAUCUUUCUCUGAGGCCUCCAGACGUUCUGGUUUGUAGGGCUGUUGGUGGGCAAACUCUUCUGUUCUGUCCCAGAAAGCCCUAGUUAAGGUUUUUAUAAAUCUGGUAUUCUUAUUUGAAAGUCUCUUACAGUCUACAUUAAAAAAAAUCAAUAUUUAUACAUAAAAAAUAAACACAAUUAGAGAUACUUUUUAUUCCUCUAUAUAGUUAAUUUAUUUUCAUUCUGUAAUUUGCACAAGUACUAAAGGAUAAUAAACUUUGGUCCCCAA